Molecule: long non-coding RNA, 2062 nt
Organism: Cylas formicarius (sweet potato weevil)
Lineage: Eukaryota; Metazoa; Arthropoda; Insecta; Coleoptera; Brentidae
Exons: 6
Source: RefSeq, a predicted model, not a curated record
GUUAAUAAUGUUACCAUUAUACCGCGCGUAGUGGAUAAAUUGUGGUCGACGCGGUUUCAAACUACCUACGUUGCAAAGCGGUUUCAGUUUGUGCAGAGAUAGGUCGCUCCGAUUGCUAUAGGGGAUUAGUUAAUUUGUAAAUCAGGCAGUUCAUUUCCUAAUAGGGGGGAAAACCUUUUAAAGAUACGGUACCUCGCGUUUUUCAAAUUGCCUGUUGCAAUAUCGUCGAUUGUUAAUGGUUGCAUUGUUCGAAAAAAGCUCAUCGAAAACUUCCGACCCGUUUCGUGUUAAUUCCGAUCGCGUCUCUUAAGCUGCGAUUAAGCAACGGAUUAGACUGAGCUGACAACGCAACUAUGAGGGGCCUAAACACCGUCUUGGAUGACUGAUUCCCAUAUUGGUAGAGACCUGAAUCGCGGUUUGAUUGAUGCAAGAAUUUUCGGCAUGCCGAUGCGUUUGUCUUAGUCUUAAGGCUCUUUCAUGUUCUUUGAGCCUAGUUGAUAUUUUUCGUCCGGUCUCUCCAAUGUAUUCUUUGCCGCAUAUGCACAGAAUGCUGGCAUCUCAAAUGGAAUUUUGUCUUUCACGGAUCAAAGAAGUUGAGAGAUUUUUGGACAAGUGUGAUGUUUUGAAUAUAAGGAAGGACAACAGUGGCAGGUGUUGGAUUGUUUUCGGUGUCAUUGCUAUUGGAAUGUUGUGAUGAAGCGUAUUUUGUGAUGGAACCCUUAAUAUCUGUAAUGUGGAAAUUAUUAGAGAGAAGAAAGAGAUAUUGAAUUGGACUAUUGAAGAGCCACUUAGGAGAGCUUCAAAAUGAUGUACUACUCAAGCACCUCGAAACAUUCGGGAAGAUAUAAAACUACUCCCAAUAAUGAAAUAACCAAAUACGCGUUUUAUUUAUUUCGGAAUCUCAAAAAAACUUGACGUUGUUUCAGAUAUUGAAUUGGACUAUUGAAGAACCACUUAGGAGAGCUUCAAAAUGAUGUACUACUCAACCACCUUGAAGCAUUCGGGAAGAUAUAAAACUACCCCCAAUAAUGAAAUAACCAAAUAUGCGUUUUAAUUAUUUCGGAAUCUCAAAAAAACCUGACGUUGUCCCAGAUAUUGACUUGGACCAUUGAAGAGCCACUUGAAGAGGUCGGAAGAUCCAAUAUCUGUCACCAUCUUCGAGAUCGCAAUGCAACAUGUUUUAUUAUUUAGCAACAUAAAAUGUUGACAUGAUCAAUAUUGCAAGACUCUGCGUCGAACUGAGUGAAGAAGAUGCCAUCUAAUGAGAGAUUGUCGACAAAAAAAAACUGAUACACACACAAAAGAAAAGGUUUGAAAAACCCUGCGUUCGUUGAACGUGAAGUUUACCUAAGUGUAGCAAAGCUCCCGGGAAAUUGAUGGAAACUUUUGGCGUAUUUUUUCAUUAAAAAAUACUUAUCAGGCUCUCUGGAGAGUUUCAAUAUUUUCUUUAGAUUUUAUCGCAAUUCGAUUUCAAAUAAUAAAUGUUGCAAGAAAUUUUCCGACUUGCGAAAAUAGGAAUUGAAAGAUACUUUCCCGCGGGCUUCCUGUGUAAAAAUACGUGAUGUAAUUACGUCUUUUUGUCUAGGGAAUUGCUACUUUUUCCAUUUGAUUUUUUUACCUCUUUCGUACGAUGGAAGGGUUGUUAAACGGAAUAUUUCAAGGAGAAAAAAAGUUAAGUUUUAUGAACUCGAGAGCUCGGUCAGGACACCUAUUGGCGACAAACACCUUGUAACUGUUAAAUGAUCUUUGAAGUAGUUAGUUUUAUAAUUUAAUUAGAAGCUAAUUUCUUCGAAUCCGCAUGGGUUCAUGUCCCUGGCUUUAUCGUCUCUAAUCAAUUCGUAUUAGAUGCGAUGGUCAAGUUAAAGUUACAUUUAAUUAGAAAAAGUCACUUCAAUAUUCUACUUUUAGGAUUAAUUGUAGAAGAAAACCUCAAUUGGAAAGAACAUAUCUUACUUAUUUAUUAAUGGUCGCACGGAUACUCAUUACAAGCAACUUAACAUAUUACAAUUAAAUAAAUUGAGAGAUUUUUAACAAAGCAAAUAUACCUACAAUAUGACUUACA